AGGAUAAUAGUUAAAAAUAACAUUUGAUUUGCAUUCAAAAAUUAUUAAUUUAAAUUAAUUUAUCUUA
RNAcentral lists this transfer RNA (67 nucleotides) under Tomostethus sp. 1 QHW-2022a. RNAcentral describes it as "tRNA-Ala". It matches the Rfam family "tRNA". Rfam says of the family: Transfer RNA (tRNA) molecules are approximately 80 nucleotides in length. Their secondary structure includes four short double-helical elements and three loops (D, anti-codon, and T loops). The record is from RNAcentral. Lineage: Eukaryota; Metazoa; Arthropoda; Insecta; Hymenoptera; Tenthredinidae.